UGGCGACCGGCGCACGGGUGCGUAACGCGUAUGCAACCUACCUUUAACAGGGGGAUAACACUGAGAAAUUGGUACUAAUACCCCAUAAUAUCAUAGAAGGCAUCUUUUAUGGUUGAAAAUUCCGAUGGUUAGAGAUGGGCAUGCGUUGUAUUAGCUAGUUGGUGGGGUAACGGCUCACCAAGGCAACGAUACAUAGGGGGACUGAGAGGUUAACCCCCCACAUUGGUACUGAGACACGGACCAA
RNAcentral lists this ribosomal RNA (244 nucleotides) under uncultured bacterium. RNAcentral describes it as "partial 16S ribosomal RNA". It matches the Rfam family "Bacterial small subunit ribosomal RNA", at positions 89 to 334 of the family's 1533-position model. The record is from RNAcentral.